CCUGCACCCGUAAUGAACAGAACUGUAGUGACACGGAAGGUAAGACAGAGCCGGGAAUGAGAAAACCGGUGCAAGCACAAUAGAUGUGCGGGAGGAAAAACCCCCGCAUAAGUCGAAGGUGUGAUGCGGACCGAAAAAGAGUAGGGAAGCUGUUAGCAAGCCGUCAAGAAAAGCUGCUAUUGUUUCAUUAUGGCCCGUACCGUAAACCGACACAGGUGGAUGGGGAGAGAAUCCUAAGGCCGGCGGAAGAAGUAUUGUUAAGGAACUCGGCAAAAUGACCCCGUAACUUCGGGAGAAGGGGUGCCUGCGAGAGCGGGCCGCAGAGAAGAGGCCCAAGCAACUGUUUAGCAAAAACACAGGUCUAUGCAAAACCGAAAGGUGAGGUAUAUGGGCUGACGCCUGCCCGGUGCUGGAAGGUUAAGGGGAGUGGUCAGGAAACGAAGCCACGAACUUAAGCCCCAGUAAACGGCGGCCGUAACAAUAACGGUCCUAAGGUAGCGAAAUUCCUUGUCGGGUAAGUUCCGACCCGCACGAAAGGCGUAAUGAUUUGGGCGCUGUCUCGACAAUACAUCCGGUGAAAUUGAAGUGCCAGUGAAGAUGCUGGCUACCUGCGCCAGGACGGAAAGACCCCAUGGAGCUUUACUCCAGCUUGAUACUGGGACCCGGUAUUGCAUGUACAGGAUAGGUGGGAGGCUAGGAAAUGUGGACGCCAGUCUGCAUGGAGCCGUUGUUGGGAUACCACCCUUGUGGUGCUGGGUUUCUAACCAGAGGCCGUGAACCGGUCUGGGGACAAUGUCAGGUGGGGAGUUUGACUGGGGCGGUCGCCUCCGAAAGGGUAUCGGAGGCGCCCAAAGGUUCCCUCAGAAUGGUUGGAAACCAUUCGAAGAGUGCAAAGGCAGAAGGGAGCUUGACUGCGACACCGACGGGUGGAGCAGGUACGAAAGUAGGGCUUAGUGAUCCGGUGGAAUUUAAGUGGGAAUGCCAUCGCUCUACGGAUAAAAGCUACCCCGGGAUAACAGGCUGAUCACUCCCAAGAGUUCACAUCGACGGAGUGGUUUGGCACCUCGAUGUCGGCUCAUCGCAUCCUGGGGCUGAAGUCGGUCCCAAGGGUUGGGCUGUUCGCCCAUUAAAGCGGUACGCGAGCUGGGUUCAGAACGUCGUGAGACAGUUCGGUCCCUAUCCGGCGUGGGCGUAGGAUAUCUGAGAGGAGCUGUCCUUAGUACGAGAGGACCGGGAUGGACUGACCUCUGGUGUACCGGUUGGCGAUCAACGCCACGGCCGGGUAGCCAUGUCGGGACGGGAUAGACGCUGAAGGCAUCUAAGCGUGAAGCCCCCCUCAAGAUGAGAUAUCCCAUCGUAAGAGUAAGACCCCUUGAAGACGACAAGGUUGAUAGGGCAGGGGUGGAAGUGCCGUAAGGCAUGGAGCUGACUGCUACUAAUCGGUCGAGGGCUUGACU
RNAcentral lists this ribosomal RNA (1457 nucleotides) under metagenome. Its description in RNAcentral is "bacterial LSU rRNA". It matches the Rfam family "Bacterial large subunit ribosomal RNA", at positions 1438 to 2925 of the family's 2925-position model. The record is from RNAcentral.